GCAAAAGCUCAAAUUUGAAACCUUCGGGAUUGUAAUUUGAAGAUUUGGCAUUGGAGAAAGCUAACCCAAGUUACUUGGAAUAGUACGUCAUAGAGGGUGACAACCCCGUCUGGCUAACCGUUCUCCAUGUAUUGCCUUAUCAAAGAGUCGAGUUGUUUGGGAAUGCAGCUCAAAGUGGGUGGUAAACUCCAUCUAAAGCUAAAUACUGGUGAGAGACCGAUAGCGAACAAGUACUGUGAAGGAAAGGUGAAAAGAACUUUGAAAAGAGAGUGAAAUAGUAUGUGAAAUUGUUGAUAGGGAAGGAAAUGAGUGGAGAGUGGUUGAGGUUUCAGCUUACCUUUGGGUAGGUGUAUUGCCAACGCCGAGUCAUCGACAGCGAGACGGCGGUU
RNAcentral lists this ribosomal RNA (389 nucleotides) under Yarrowia lipolytica. RNAcentral's name for it is "partial 28S ribosomal RNA". It matches the Rfam family "Eukaryotic large subunit ribosomal RNA", at positions 101 to 507 of the family's 3401-position model. Lineage: Eukaryota; Fungi; Ascomycota; Dipodascomycetes; Dipodascales. The record is from RNAcentral. RNAcentral also lists the same sequence under 1 other name.